Molecule: ribosomal RNA, 500 nt
Filed under: uncultured bacterium
Lineage: Bacteria
Description: partial 16S ribosomal RNA
Rfam family: Bacterial small subunit ribosomal RNA
Source: RNAcentral
AUUGAACGCUGGCGGCAUGCUUUACACAUGCAAGUCGAACGGUAACAGGGUGCUUGCACCGCUGACGAGUGGCGAACGGGUGAGUAAUGCGUCGGAACGUGCCGAGUAGUGGGGGAUAACGCAGCGAAAGUUGUGCUAAUACCGCAUACGUACUGAGGUAGAAAGUGGGGGACCUUCGGGCCUCACGCUAUUCGAGCGGCCGACGUCUGAUUAGCUAGUAGGUGAGGUAAAGGCUCACCUAGGCGACGAUCAGUAGCGGGUCUGAGAGGAUGGUCGGCCAAACUGGAACUAGAACAAGGGCCAGAUGCCGACGUGCGGCAGCAGUGGGAAAUUUUGAACAAUGGGCGAAAGCCCGAUCCAGCCAUGCCGCGUGUCUGAAGAAGGCCGUCGGGUUGUAAAGGACUUUUGUCAGGGAGGAAAUCCCUAGUGCUAAUAACACUGGGGGAUGACAGUACCUGAAGAAUAAGCACCGGCUAACUACGUGCCAGCCGCCGCAGUAA